GCUGCACCUGUGGCAUAUGGAAGUACCCAGGCUAGGGGUUGAAUCGGAGCUGCAGCUGCCAGCCUGCCAUGAGGGAUCUGAACCUCGUCUGUGACCUACAUCACAGCUCAUGGUAAUGGCCGGAUACUUAAUCCACUGAGGGAGGCCAGGGAUCGAACCCACUUCUUCAUGGCUACUAGUUGGGUUCGUUACUGAGCCACAAUGGGAACUCCUGGAAUUGGGUUUUGGGGGACAAGGGGACCAGGGAGGAGAGCCAUUGGAAAGGACAGAGGCACAAUUGUUCAGGGGAAAAGAUGGGCGGGGGCGCGGAGAAUGUUUUGUGAAAGUGGCCACCCUCAUGGAAGCCUUAAAGGUGGGUGGGGUGGGGCAAGAGGAGACUGGUCUGUCCUGCUCAGGCCUGGGGACCCUGGAACCCUGGUGAGGGCUUUGGAGCUGGCCAGGUGCCCAGGGGCCACCUCCCACCUCCAUUACCCUCAGAACGGAGAAGCCAAGAAAGGGAACCCAGCAAGGUACUCCCGUUUCAGUCUCUGGCAGGACGGUCCUGCGUAGAAUGUUCCUAUGGGGUAAAGGCGUUAUUACUUCUCUCCUCCUGGCCCAGGGCUUGAUGGCUGAGCAAACGCCUAUGCUUUAUAAGACUGAUGUGCUACCCUUUUUUUUUUUCCCCACUUUUGGCCGCCCCUGUGGCAUAUAGAGCUCCUGGGCCAGGGAUCAGACCUCAACCACAUUCAAGACCUAAGACUUAGCUGUGGCAAUGCUAGAUCCUUAACCCACUGUGCCGGGCUGGGGAUAGAACCCACGUCCCAGUGCUGCCAAGAUGCUGCCAAUCCCAUUGCACCACAGUGGGAGCUCCAUACCUGCUGCUUUAUGUAGUUGAUGUGGGGGGAGAAUGGAGCGGGUGGUCAAGCCCUUUGCUCCUUGAAAGGUCGAGCUUCUGGACUGGGACCAGGUCCAGCUAAUCCUGGGAUGGGCGCCUCCUCCUCCCUGCUCAGUCCUCCAGGCUGAAAACAACAGCCACCCCCAGGCACUGGACUGGGUGCUUGUUACAGCAACCCUGUGAGAUGGGAUCAUGAUAAACAUAUCACAGGGGAGGAAACUGAGGCUUCAGAGGUUAGGUGAAGAGUCCAGACUUAGCUAGAAAGGGGAGCAGUUGGACUUUAAAUGGUAAGAUACUGUUAAGGGAAAAAAGGUAGAACAUUUUUGGGUUUACGGUCUUUGGAGUUUAAAAAAAAAAAAAAGAAAAAAUUUCAAAUCCAAUUUUGGACUUGCCAAGCACUUUGCAUGUAUUAUUUCUGUUUGUCUUUUCAAACAAUGCUAUAAAGUAUUCUGAUUCCUAUUUUAUGAAGGGGGAAAAAAGGGGGCUCAGGAAGGGGAAGGUUUACGUGGAAAUCUACCCAGGUAGCACAUCAUGGAGCUGGGCUCAGAAUCCAGUCUGGCUAUUCCCAGGGAGGAUUUUUGGAAUCUUGCUUCCUAGAAUCGACUCUCCCCUGGGCCAGGGAUUCUGUCUUUAGCUGCCUCAUAUUUUCAUUAAACCCGCCUCGGGUGCCCAGGCCCAACUCAGAAAGAUUUUGUGGGAAAGGCUGCCACCUUGUGGCCAAAGAGCAAGCCCACCAUUUAGCAGCUGGCUAUGACCUGGAAAGGCAGGGCUUUGGGAACAGGUGAAGUUGGUCUCCGAAGAGAGACUUCCGCUGGUGCAGACUUGCUUCUGGAAGGCUUCUCCACAGUCAGAGGGCCAGCUCCGGCAUCGCAGGGGUGGGGACUUCAGGUUCCCCAGCUGCCUAAGGGUGGAAAGUGGGCCUUGGCUGUGUGCACAGUGGACCGCAACUUUUCUGCAAAGUCCCGUUCGGGGAAUUCUGGAAGGUGAGCUGAGCUAAGACGUCUCCUUCAGCCCUUCUCCUGAGGUUUUGGUCCUUUUACCAGUGUGGGGGUGGGGAGAGGGGCUGUUCGCGUAAACCGACACUUCCUCUGCAGAGACGAACCCCCACUCCCGGAGGUUCUGGGGCUGUAUCCUCCCUGUGUUCUACCCUGUGUGGACACUGUCCUCAACCCUGCGGGAGUUACAGAACCUCGUCCUCACUCCUAAACCUGCUCCUGCGGGAGCUCUCCCUCUGUCCUCUUCCAGGCUGCUCCAUGUGGCUGUCACCAUCUCCCAGGCUCUGUUCUUCUGCUCCUCUGCUCUCUCCACUUUGUUCAUCAAAGGAGUGCCUAGUCAUAUUUCUCCCCAGGUACACCCGCGGGGUGCAGGAGGACGCCCACCUUCUUAGCCUCGUUUUCCUUCCAUACUGACAUCGAAAUCUCAGGCCAUGUGCCUCUUGUUAGGCUCCAAUCAGUGCUUCUCAGCUCGGGCUGCACAUUCAAAUCACCUGGGGGUGGGGCUUUGCAACCUCCCUCUGCCAGGCCACGCCCCCUCGAGAUCCUGAUGUAAUUGGCCUGGGCCCUGGAGGUCCUGCGUGCGUCCAGAAAACUCCGCAGGUGCGCAGCCUUGCUCCAGCUUUUCUGAGCACCUCCCCCUGCCCCAUCUUGCUUGCGGAUUUCUGCUCACCUCCUUCCAGGCAGCCCUCUCGCCUUCUCUCCCCUUGUUCUCGUCCCUGUGAGAAGACGCUCUCAGACUGGUGGACAGAACUGGUGGUCCUCUGCCCCGCCUUGACAGUUUUGUGCAUCACUUCUGCGCGGGUGCGGAGCCCGCCGUGCUCUCCUACGGAUCACCUGAUGGUUCUCUUGUUUUCGACUGAGGUUUUGGACCAUGCUUUAUUUCUCCGUGUGUUCCCAGCUUCGGAAGUUGUCCGGGACAACGCUGUGUUUGGUCACUGGGACUGCUGAUGGAGGACUCAACGGCUUUCUUAGAUAGCCAGGCUUCACGUUGCUGAGAUUUCUGACCUUCAGAAGGAUGUCACCCUUUCCGAAGAUCCCUUGAGGCCGAGAGCAGCGCUCUCCCACCAAGGUACCUGUUCCUGGGCCGGGAGAGGGGAGGGGCCGCGCGGAUGGGUUAAGGAACUGGCAUCGCCAUAGCUGUGGUGUAGGUUGCAACUCCAGCUUGGAUUCGACCCCUGGCCUGGGAACUUGCAUAUGCCGCGGGGUGGCCAAAAAAGGAAAAAACCCAAAAAACAGACCCACAUUGGGUGGGGAUUUGUCAUGCGUUGGUGAUAACAUGUAAUAUCUUUUAUUGUCCUAUAGCAGCCCUCUUGUUAGCAGUUUUUUACGGGUGAGGAAACUGAGGCUCAUAGGUGAUGGGGUAUGUGGCUGGGACUCCACAGUAUCCUGGCUUCUCUUCCUAGACUUACAGCAGGCUACAUAUUCGAGUCUCUCUUGCAGGAGGUGGGUUCAUGGACCCCUCCCUCCUCCCCAGGGAAUGUGGGUGGACGUGAUUGUAUUAACUGCGGCGUGGCCCUUUAAAAAUAAAAUAGUUACACGUGUGAUCUUGGCGCUCCUUAUCCAUCAACCAGUUGAAGGGAGAGGGCUUCCAAGAUGCUGAGGACCUAGAAGAAGGCAGAGUCACAAGAUGCGAGGAGCCUGGGGCCCUGUGCUGGAGCAGAGCUGUUCCCUUGCUGACUGCUGUGUGAGUGACGAGUCAGCUCGUUCCGUGUUAACUUAGGUUGGGUUUCUCUCUUAAACCGGCGAAUGCCAUUUACCCUAAUUAUACAUGGAAACUUCGCAAGUCCUGUUUGGUGAGCAGCUGAGUUAGGAUUGUUCUUGUCAAGCUGUCGCCAGGGUGCACAAUCUCAUCCCCUAAAAGGCCUUUCCAGAAUCGUCUAUCAUUGUGCGACUCUUUACGGAAGAGGUCAAACAUUUCAUCCUGGUCAUUCUAGCACCGCCUCGAGGAAAGGCAAGAGAGGACUUUUUGUUUGUGUGUUUUAACCCAAGACGGUCUCCGUCUCCCAUAGUUUGAGGCAGGUGUGGGUGUGAUGGAGGGCUGGGCUGGCCUGAGUGUCACAGGCUACUCAUGGAUCAUUCAAAGAAGGUUGGUAUAAAGAGAGUUUCACAUUCAAGGGAAAUGCUGGUGACACGUGAUUCCCCGUGUACUCCGCCGCCCCUUUGGGCCUCCCUGCCACCGGAUAGGCUGAGUCAGCAAAAGCUCUGGGCUGGGCAAGCAUCUCUCUGCCUUCUUGCCUGAGAGCCACUUUCUGCCUGGGUUGGUUGGUUGGUGGCACUGGCUGCACCUACCCCAGGGGGACAUAGGACACAGUAGUUGGUUCCCAUUUGGCUCCCACCAGAUCAGGAUUCCAGCUGGCCUCAUGACCAGGGGGACAUUGAUCUGUGAGCACAUAUCCAAGGGGCCCUGACCCCAUCGAGUCAAACAAGGCUGCUGAACCAAAGCACCUGGGAGCUGUGUCUGCUUUCUGCCCUCCUGAAGGGGUAUGGCCCCAACCUCCUCCAGAAAACAGGGGUGUUCACACAGGCUUCUGAGAAGGAUGUUCUUUGGAGUAUUUAGGUUCUCCUGUUUGCUUGCUCUGCUACUGGGGCCCUCCGGGUCCAAUACUGGGUGUACAGAAGGCUAGCCUGGCCUCUCUCCCUGCCUCCCUCCCCCUGGAAGGCCAGUCCGGUCAGGCUGGAGGACCGGAGGCAGCAGUGAUUCAGAGCACUUGCACGGUCCUGGGGUGAUGUGCCACCCAGACCUUGCGGGAGGUUUUGAAAUUGACCACAGCCCAGCUUGAAUCAUUCUACCACUUCCCGGCUGGGUGACAAGUGGCCUCAGUUUCUCCACCUGCAAAGUGAAUGAUACCAGGAGCUUGUUCUUGAAAUCCAUCCCUGAGAUACACUUCCAUUUCUUUUUUGGCCACCAGCCUCAUCAACUCACACAGUUGACCACAUCAGCUCCCUACCUGUUCGCUGCAUGGUAUCCAGAGCACUUGUUAAGAAAUUAAAACGGAUUCCCUCUCGUUUCUAAUUUAAAAAAAAUCCAGUCUUUAUGGAGUUCCCUUGUGGUUCAGCAGGUUAAGGAUCUGGCAUUGUCACUGCUGUGGUGCAUGUUCAAUUCCUGGCCCUGGGAACUUCUGCAUGCCAUGGGUGCAGCCAAAAAAAAAAAAAAAAUCCAAUCUUUAAUCAGCUCGUUUUCUGAAACUCGCCAACUCUUCUGUUUUCCAGCAUAUGUGACCACAGUGCCUU
RNAcentral lists this long non-coding RNA (5100 nucleotides) under Sus scrofa (pig). RNAcentral's name for it is "lncRNA (ENSSSCG00015008671.1)". Lineage: Eukaryota; Metazoa; Chordata; Mammalia; Artiodactyla; Suidae. The record is from RNAcentral.